AAAUUUAAAUAAUAAAAAAAAUAGGCAAUUGCUUAUAUACCUCUGAAAAAAUUUUUUGACUUUUUGAUUUAUCCUUCUUAUAAAGUUAAUAUUAAAAAUAUCCUUUUAACGUUCCAACAUAUUUCAAAUAUAUCCUUAGAGUUAAUCUCUGUUAAUAAACUGUUAGUAAUAGUUGUUAGUAAUAGUUGUUAUCUGUAUAAAAUUACUACUUUGUCUUUUCAAAUAUACCUUUCUACCAUCACUGAUUUUUCGUAUUUGCUCUUAAGUUAGGGGCACAAAGAGUAUUUUAAUUUUUUAUCUUUUCAAAUAUAUUUUUCUACCAUCACCAACAUUUCUUGUUUGCCCUUAAGUUAAGGGCAAAAGAGUCAUUUUAAAUUUUUUUUAACUCUAGUAGAUAUUUAACUCACGUUUAAUUUAAGUUAACUUAAUGGGUGAUAACUAUAGAGAUAUUUUAGAAUAAUGGAUAAACAUAUAAAAGGUAUAUUGAAAAGAAAAUAAAUAGGAUAAAUGAGAUUUUUCUAAAGUUUUGAAAAAUAUAUAGGCAAUUAUCCCUAAAAAAAAUUACAUAUAUAUAUA
Molecule: long non-coding RNA, 576 nt
Filed under: Ananas comosus (pineapple)
Lineage: Eukaryota; Viridiplantae; Streptophyta; Magnoliopsida; Poales; Bromeliaceae
Description: long non-coding RNA (ACOM_LNC012795)
Source: RNAcentral